GGAGCGAUGAAACUCCAUGCCUAUCCCUCCCACUGCAGGGCGACACAGAGAGGGGAGCGAUGAAACUCCAUGCCUAUCCCUCCCACUGCAGGGCGACACAGAGAGGGGAGCGAUGAAACUCCAUGCCUAUCCCUCCCACUGCAGGGCGACACAGAGAGGGGAGCGAUGAAACUCCAUGCCUAUCCCUCCCACUGCAGGGCGACACAGAGAGGGGAGCGAUGGCGAUGAAACUCCAUGCCUAUCCCUCCUACUGCAGGGCGACACAGAGAGGGGAGCUAUGAAACUCCAUGCCUAUCCCUCCCACUGCAGGGCGACACAGAGAGGGGAGCUAUGAAACUCCAUGCCUAUCCCUCCCACUGCAGGGCGACACAGAGAGGGGAGCUAUGAAACUCCAUGCCUAUCCCUCCCACUGCAGGGCGACCCAGAGAGGGGAGCUAUGAAACUCCAUGCCUAUCCCUCCCACUGCAGGGCGACACAGAGAGGGGGCUAAGGAAUUCCUUGUCUGUGCCUCCAACUGCCGGGUGAUGGUCUGUGCUGUUGGACAUAUUACAGAAAAAAAUAGUAUAUAACAGUAUAGCUCCAAUUGUGAAUUUACAAAUUCAUAUACAAAAAUCACAGCUGGUCCUGUCUAUAUUAUUCAGUAGGAAGAGAGACCCAAGGCAGUCUCCCUACCGAGCUGAUCUAGGUAACACUAGACUGAUGAAAUCUAUUCUGCCCAAUUAAAAUGACUUUGUGCCGGCUUCUAGAAUACAUAUGGUUAGGCUGUACAGUCCUAGUGUAUAUGGAGUUUUGUUAGAUAUAUAGUGUAAUGUAUAUAAUGUAGUCCCUUUUCUUUGUGACUAAAAAAGCUUUCCUCCUAUUAUCUGAUAGACAAGCACGAUUGACCUUGUUGAAUGGGACAUUGCCGAGGUAUUAUAGUGCAAAAAGUAGCACGUUUGCCUUGGAAAUCUUUCUGCAUUUAUUUGAGAGAUAUAUAAUCCUGUAUCCUGUGCUUAUUGUGUCUUGGUGUUUCUUGUGGUUGAUACACAAACCGGUUAGUGUUUACAUCAGACAUUGCCUUGGAAUCUUAUUUCAUAUUUAUAUUUGAAACUACCGGUAGUCACUUUUUAAGUCUCUUUUCCUACCAACUAAAUUUUGCUGUCAUUUCUGAAAUGUAUAAUUUUGAGAAUAAAGGAAGAAUUUAGGCGAGAUAUUGUGACACUUAUUAUUUAGACUAGUAAAUACACCAUUAGAUGGCGCUGUGUUCCACAACGUCCAGGUUGGAGUGCAGUAACUGUGACUGGGCGGGCUGACGGAGAGUAAAUACACCAUUAGAUGGCGCUGUGUUAAACAACGUCCAGGUUGGAGUGCAGUAACUGUGACUGGGCGGGCUGACGGAGAGUAAAUACACCAUUAGAUGGCGCUGUGUUAAACAACGUCCAGGUUGGAGUGCAGUAACUGUGACUGGGCGGGCUGACGGAGAGUAAAUACACCAUUAGAUGGCGCUGUGUUACACAACGUCCAGGUUGGAGUGCAGUAACUGUGACUGGGCGGGCUGACGGAGAGUAAAUACACCAUUAGAUGGCGCUGUGUUAAACAACGUCCAGGUUGGAGUGCAGUAACUGUGACUGGGCGGGCUGACGGAGAGUAAAUACACCAUUAGAUGGCGCUGUGUUACACAACGUCCAGGUUGGAGUGCAGUAACUGUGACUGGGCGGGCUGACGGAGAGUAAAUACACCAUUAGAUGGCGCUGUGUUCCACAACGUCCAGGUUGGAGUGCAGUAACUGUGACUGGGCGGGCUGACGGAGAGUAAAUACACCAUUAGAUGGCGCUGUGUUAAACAACGUCCAGGUUGGAGUGCAGUAACUGUGACUGGGCGGGCUGACGGAGAGUAAAUACACCAUUAGAUGGCGCUGUGUUCCACAACGUCCAGGUUGGAGUGCAGUAACUGUGACUGGGCGGGCUGACGGAGAGUAAAUACACCAUUAGAUGGCGCUGUGUUCCACAACGUCCAGGUUGGAGUGCAGUAACUGUGACUGGGCGGGCUGACGGAGAGUAAAUACACCAUUAGAUGGCGCUGUGUUAAACAACGUCCAGGUUGGAGUGCAGUAACUGUGACUGGGCGGGCUGACGGAGAGUAAAUACACCAUUAGAUGGCGCUGUGUUACACAACGUCCAGGUUGGAGUGCAGUAACUGUGACUGGGCGGGCUGACGGAGAGUAAAUACACCAUUAGAUGGCGCUGUGUUCCACAACGUCCAGGUUGGAGUGCAGUAACUGUGACUGGGCGGGCUGACGGAGAGUAAAUACACCAUUAGAUGGCGCUGUGUUAAACAACGUCCAGGUUGGAGUGCAGUAACUGUGACUGGGCGGGCUGACGGAGAGUAAAUACACCAUUAGAUGGCGCUGUGUUCCACAACGUCCAGGUUGGAGUGCAGUAACUGUGACUGGGCGGGCUGACGGAGAGUAAAUACACCAUUAGAUGGCGCUGUGUUACACAACGUCCAGGUUGGAGUGCAGUAACUGUGACUGGGCGGGCUGACGGAGAGUAUAUCAGUCUAUAAGAAGGUCCAUAAUCAGCGGGCAGGAGAUAAGGUCUCAAACCUCUCUACAAGCCACUUAAUCUUUACCACAAGUAAACGGUGGAGAUGGAACUGGCUGGCCAAUCCUGGUUAAAUUAAAGCUGAAGUCAGAAACAUAAGAGGGAGCUUCUGUCAUAGUUAAAUGGUCUCCCAUCCGCAAACUGAUCCCGCUUCAUGUUUAUGCCCAUUUGCUCUAUAAACAUGAUGCAUUCUGGUCAAGGGAUAUACUUCUCAAUAAUGCAUAAAAAUAUACAAUCUACAAUUUUACCACAUGACCGGAGACUUCAUAUUUUGCAUAUCUCUCUUUACUGAAAACUCCAGCAGCACAGAUCAUAAACAGAACGACCAAUCAAAACACAGCUAGAUAUUUCAUAAAAGGCCCUGCCAGUCUAAGCUCCUCCUCUUUCGUUGCUGCUCCUGCAUGCACAGGUCAGAAUAUUUUGUCCUUGUGCCCUCUUUUUGAAAUAAACUUAUUUUUAUAUUG
This is a non-coding RNA of Pelobates cultripes (western spadefoot toad), 3046 nucleotides long. Lineage: Eukaryota; Metazoa; Chordata; Amphibia; Anura; Pelobatidae. The record is from the annotation of a GenBank genome assembly.